AUUUACAGGCUUUAUUGGUGGGCUCCACUAAAAUUAAGAUGGAAACUAUGAAGUCUUGCGCACACAUAGAGAAUGUGCGUGGAGGAGAAGAGAUCAAUAGAUGUGGCACAGUGUGCUGAACUCUAUUACCAGAAACAGGAUUUCAAGCCUCAACUGGGCAAAUAUGUAACAAUGUUUUCUCAACUCCAGACUCAAACAGAGUCCAACCCCUGGUUCCAGAGCCUGAGCCAUGUGUUGGCUAAGACUAGUCAGUAUCUCUCAACGUCCAGCACCAACUCAGGCUCCCACUCCACCUGAGAGAAUACUUGGCAUGCAGAUUGGUUGAGCCAGGGAUCGAACCACCAACCUUCCAAUCAGUAGGUGACCUGCGCUACCUCCUGGCUACAGCCACCCCACAGCCCACACCCCAAUUGUCAGGAGCCAGGAGCUUUCCUUCUCCUCUGUCACAGGUAGGGGAAGCUGUUCCCCGGGUUUAUAGCUUCUCAUGGGACGACAGUUCAGAUUGACUGAUGGAGACUUCUUGGAGACUCCAUCUGCUGGCGAGGAACAACUCUGUUAUUUAACUGGGAGUUAGAAUUACUGGGAAUAAAACUAAUUAAAUGAUUAGGAAUUCAAUUAAAUUCAGUUUUAUUUAUAUAGCCCAUAAUCACAACAACAAAGCCCCAGCAUUCAUCUUAACCGAAUAUGUGGACUAUGCUUAAAAGUGACGUUCAUACCAGGAAAUCAACCAAUUACAAACCAAAAAUAAAGAUUGAGCCAUAACUAUACCCAAAGCUGGUUGAUGCUACGUGAAGCAAAUAUUAGUGGAAGUGUAUGUAUAUGUUUGACCCUGCAAGUCCAAUUCUGAC
This is a long non-coding RNA of Astatotilapia calliptera (eastern happy), 848 nucleotides long. The record is from Ensembl. Lineage: Eukaryota; Metazoa; Chordata; Actinopteri; Cichliformes; Cichlidae.